This 75-nucleotide transfer RNA is filed under the name Nostoc sp. HK-01. RNAcentral's name for it is "tRNA-Arg". It matches the Rfam family "tRNA". From Rfam's summary of the family: Transfer RNA (tRNA) molecules are approximately 80 nucleotides in length. Their secondary structure includes four short double-helical elements and three loops (D, anti-codon, and T loops). The record is from RNAcentral. RNAcentral also lists the same sequence under 3 other names. Lineage: Bacteria; Bacillati; Cyanobacteriota; Cyanophyceae; Nostocales; Nostocaceae.
UGGGCGCGUAGCUCAGUGGAUAGAGCAAUUGCCUUCUAAGCAAUCGGCCGCAGGUUCGAACCCUGCCGCGCUCGU